This 337-nucleotide ribosomal RNA is filed under the name Gomphus sp. SMB-2007. RNAcentral describes it as "partial 12S ribosomal RNA". The record is from RNAcentral. Lineage: Eukaryota; Metazoa; Arthropoda; Insecta; Odonata; Gomphidae.
GUAAUAGUUAUGUUCUUGAAACCCAAAGAAUUUGGCGGUAUUUUAGUCCUUUCAGAGGAAUCUGUCCCGUAAUCGACAGUCCACGAGAUAAUUUACUUAUCCUUGUAUUUCAGUUUGUAUACCUCCGUCAUAAGAAGAUCUUUUUAGAGAUAAAUUUUCUUAAUAUAUUAAGUAUAAAAUGUCAGGUCAAGGUGCAAUUUAUGGAUGAGUGGAGAUGGAUUACAAUAAAUUUAUUUAAAUGGAUUAAAUUAUUUAAUUUUUUAUGAAGGUGGAUUUGAUAGUAAUUUUAAUUAUUUGUUAUUAUGAUUUUGGCUCUAAAAUAUGCACACAUCGCCCG